This 289-nucleotide ribosomal RNA is filed under the name uncultured Prevotella sp. RNAcentral describes it as "partial 16S ribosomal RNA". The record is from RNAcentral. Lineage: Bacteria; Pseudomonadati; Bacteroidota; Bacteroidia; Bacteroidales; Prevotellaceae.
CUACCAGGGUAUCUAAUCCUGUUUGAUACCCGCACCUUCGAGCUUAAGCGUCAGUGCCGCUCCCGUCAGCUGCCUUCGCAAUCGGAGUUCCUCGUCAUAUCUAAGCAUUUCACCGCUACACGACGAAUUCCGCCAACGUUGCGCGUACUCAAGCGUCCCAGUUCGCGCUGCGAUGCAGACGUUGGGCGUCUACAUUUCACAACACGCUUAAAACGCGGCCUACGCUCCCUUUAAACCCAAUAAAUCCGGAUAACGCCCGGACCUUCCGUAUUACCGCGGCUGCUGGCAC